GAUACUAACCAUAGUUUCAUCAAAACAAGCAACCAACUCAACAAAAAACAGAAUCUGUCAAAAACAUACCAGACUGUAGCAACCUGUAUACUUCGUAUACUUCAGGUACAUCAAAAAUUAUGAACAAUUACGACUUCCUGGGAAAAAGGCAUAUCAACCAGCAGCAAAAAGAAUCAACUCAAAAGCUCUUUCUGAAUAAAAAUGAAAAAUCA
RNAcentral lists this long non-coding RNA (212 nucleotides) under Hordeum vulgare. RNAcentral's name for it is "long non-coding RNA (HVUL_LNC015416)". The record is from RNAcentral. Lineage: Eukaryota; Viridiplantae; Streptophyta; Magnoliopsida; Poales; Poaceae.